Molecule: long non-coding RNA, 864 nt
Organism: Alexandromys fortis (reed vole)
Lineage: Eukaryota; Metazoa; Chordata; Mammalia; Rodentia; Cricetidae
Exons: 4
Source: RefSeq, a predicted model, not a curated record
UUGACUUACCACCAGCAGGUAAACAGGGCAGCAAAAGAGGUGGCAAGAAAAGGGGCAUUCGAAGGGGCUAAGACUGGCAAAGGUGUGCAGGUGCACAGCAAGAAGGCAGUGAUCAGUUAUUAUCUUCCUUUGCCAGAUUGAAUGUGUCCUUUAGAGGAGGAGACAGAAAACACAACAAGCAGCAGAGAAAGCUCAAGCCCAUGGCUGUUGGCAAUGUGAACGCACGAGCUCAAGAGGAGGUUGCCCUGGAGAUGUGCUCGGCAUUCUCAGAAUCUGGGUGGGAAAGCUGCCCUGGAUAAUGGAUGAAAUCAUCCGGCUAAACAACAGGCUAUUGCAAUAAUAUUUUUGAAGAGCAGAGUAAAGGCUUUGCGUGGUGAUAAACAGCUAUAACACCAGCUUGGAAAGGCUGCGGAAGGAGAACUGCCAAGAACUCAAGGCUAGCCUGGGAUUCAUGAUGAGCUCAUUGCUGCCUUGUAUACCUGUGAAUAUAAAAUAGACACUGCACCUUUGGAGCAAUAGAACGCUGACUAAGACAAAGUCCAAGCGCCAACUUCUUAUGGCCCAGCAGUCAUUCAAAGCUACUGGCAAGUGAUGCUUGUGAUUCUUUCCUGGCGACACGUUGAUGGUGAAGAGGCAGAUGCUUUCUGUCAUCUUGUGUUGCUCUCCGCAGGAAAGGUGAGUUCUGGGUACGAUUUCAGGAUGCCUGAGAAAUCUAACCCUCCUAAAGUUCACAGAUGUCUUCCAGUGAUAAUGUGGGUUGCAGUUGGCUUUCCAGCCAGGUCCUGGGGUUCCUCAUUCAUGAAUUUAGCCAACUGUAGACCAAAUGCAUCUGGAAAAAUGUUUCUGGAGUGGGCAUUUUGUUAG